RNAcentral lists this ribosomal RNA (253 nucleotides) under uncultured bacterium. Its description in RNAcentral is "partial 16S ribosomal RNA". It matches the Rfam family "Bacterial small subunit ribosomal RNA", at positions 524 to 776 of the family's 1533-position model. The record is from RNAcentral.
UACGAAGGGGGCUAGCGUUACUCGGAAUGACUGGGCGUAAAGGGCGCGUAGGCGGUUUGUUUAGUUAGGCGUGAAAUUCCUGGGCUCAACCUGGGGGCUGCGCUUAAUACAGGCAGACUAGAGUGUGAAAGAGGGUCGUGGAAUUUCCAGUGUAGAGGUGAAAUUCGUAGAUAUUGGAAAGAACACCGGUGGCGAAGGCGGCGACCUGGUUCAUUACUGACGCUGAGGCGCGAAAGCGUGGGGAGCGAACAGG